Long non-coding RNA from Oreochromis niloticus (Nile tilapia), 485 nucleotides. RefSeq lists it as uncharacterized. The record is from RefSeq and is a predicted model, not a curated record. The transcript is spliced from 3 exons. NCBI's taxonomy places the organism in Eukaryota, Metazoa, Chordata, Actinopteri, Cichliformes, Cichlidae.
GGAAACUGUAUUUCCUGUCAGAGAUGCUCAGUGAUCCUCAGAGCAGAGAGAGGUACUGCUGUCUCCUGAGUUCUUCAGUGUCCCAACUGAAACAUUCAAACCUCAUUGCAGAGCUCAUGUCUUUCCUCACCAUCAUGUGAGUGUGAGAUUGCUCUGGAUUCUGGUUAUGUGGCCUGCAGCACCUAUAAGAACAAGCUCGUACAGUGUGCCUGCAUUCCAGCUUCUUAGACUCUACGUAAGUGGACAGUAUCAGUGUUUGGCCACUCUUACAGACACCGACUUCUGUCAACUCACUGCUACUGAUCAGGCACCUCACUCCAGGAAGACAGAGGGCUGCAAGCCUGUCAUCGUUUCCAGUGUGGCUUUGAAUUCUUGGGGUAGUAUCAGAUUUUUCCCACAAAUAUUCAAAGGUAACACUUAUUUUAAGCUUAGUUAUUAAAUCAAAAGUCUUCCCUUGUGUUAAUUUUUUUAUUAUUAUUUUAUUU